AUUGAACGCUGGCGGCGUGCUUAACACAUGCAAGUCGAUCGGUAACAGGUGUAGCAAUACAUGCUGACGAGAGGCGGACGGGUGAGUAAUGCUUGGGAAUCUGCCUAUUAGUGGGGGACAGCCCGGGGAAACUCGGGCUAAUACCGCAUACGCUCUACGGAGGAAAGCCGGGGACCGCAAGGCCUGGCGCUAAUAGAUGAGCCCAAGUCGGAUUAGCUAGUUGGAGGGUAACGGCCUACCAAGGCGACAAUCCGUAGCUGGUCUGAGAGGACGACCAGCCACACCGGAACUGAGACACGGUCCGGACUCCUACGGGAGGCAGCAGUGGGGAAUAUUGGACAAUGGGGGCAACCCUGAUCCAGCGACGCCGCGUGGGUGAAGAAGGCCUGCGGGUUGUAAAGCCCUUUCGGUGGGGAAGAAAAGUCUCGACCUAAUACGUCGGGACCUUGACGUAACCCACUAAAGAAGCACCGGCUAACUCUGUGCCAGCAGCCG
RNAcentral lists this ribosomal RNA (495 nucleotides) under uncultured bacterium. RNAcentral's name for it is "bacterial SSU rRNA". It matches the Rfam family "Bacterial small subunit ribosomal RNA", at positions 29 to 517 of the family's 1533-position model. The record is from RNAcentral.